AACCCGGCCCUGCGCGGCAGGAUGCUUCGAACCGUGUCAGGACCGGAAGGUAGCAGCACUAAGUUGCUAACUGGGUGCCGCAGGUAAACCGGGUUUCA
Molecule: signal recognition particle RNA, 98 nt
Filed under: Chloroflexota bacterium
Lineage: Bacteria; Bacillati; Chloroflexota
Also listed under: 2 other names
Description: Chloroflexi bacterium signal recognition particle sRNA small type
Rfam family: Bacterial small signal recognition particle RNA
About the family: The signal recognition particle (SRP) is a universally conserved ribonucleoprotein involved in the co-translational targeting of proteins to membranes. Archaeal SRP consists of a 7S RNA and homologues of the eukaryotic SRP19 and SRP54 proteins.
Source: RNAcentral